Molecule: ribosomal RNA, 512 nt
Filed under: uncultured Paraglomus
Lineage: Eukaryota; Fungi; Glomeromycota; Glomeromycetes; Paraglomerales; Paraglomeraceae
Description: SSU rRNA
Rfam family: Eukaryotic small subunit ribosomal RNA
Source: RNAcentral
AGCAGCCGCGGUAAUUCCAGCUCCAAUAGCGUAUAUUAAAGUUGUUGCAGUUAAAAAGCUCGUAGUUGAACUUCAGGCCUGGCUGGACGGUUCGCCCUCUGGGUGAGCACUGUCUGUGGUCGGGUCCUACCUUCUGGCGAAGCGGCAUGGCCUUAACCGGCCGUGGCGGGGAACCAGGACUUUUACUGUGAAAAAAUUGAGUGUUCAAAGCAGGCACGCGCCUGAAUCAUUAGCAUGGAAUAAUGGAAUAGGACAAUGGUUCUAUUUGUUGGUUUCUAGGACCGUUGUAAUGAUUAAUAGGGAUAGUUGGGGGCAUUAGUAUUCAAUUGUCAGAGGUGAAAUUCUUGGAUUUAUUGAAGACUAACUACUGCGAAAGCAUUUGCCAAGGAUGUUUUCAUUAAUCAAGACGAAAGUUAGGGAUCGAAGACGAUCAGAUACCGUCGUAGUCUUAACAUAAACUAUGCGACUAGGAAUCGGGCGAUGUUGAACAAUGACGACGCUCGGGCACCGUA